CACGUAGUUAGCCGGUGCUUCUUCUGCAGGUACCGUCAUCCAGCAGGGUUAUUCGCCCCGCCGAUUUCUUCCCUGCCGAAAGGGCUUUACAACCCGAAGGCCUUCUUCACCCACGCGGCAUUGCUGGAUCAGGGUUGCCCCCAUUGUCCAAGAUUCCCCACUGCUGCCUCCCGUAGGAGUCUGGGCCGUGUCUCAGUCCCAGUGUGGCGGAUCGUCCUCUCAGACCCGCUACCGAUCGUCGCCUUGGUAGGCCUUUACCCCACCAACUAGCUAAUCGGACAUCGGCCGCUCGGCUAGCGCAAGGCCCAAAGGUCCCCUGCUUUCCUCCGAAGAGCGUAUGCGGUAUUAGCCCGUCUUUCGACGGGUUAUCCCCCACUAGCCGGUACGUUCCGAUGUGUUACUCACCCGUUCGCCACUCGCCGCCAGGAAAGCAAGCUUUCCCGCGAUGCCGUUCGACUUGCAUGUGUAAGGCAUGCCGCCAGCGUUCAAUCUGAGCCAGGAUCAAACUCU
Molecule: ribosomal RNA, 510 nt
Filed under: uncultured Hydrogenophilus sp.
Lineage: Bacteria; Pseudomonadati; Pseudomonadota; Hydrogenophilia; Hydrogenophilales; Hydrogenophilaceae
Description: partial 16S ribosomal RNA
Source: RNAcentral